RNAcentral lists this ribosomal RNA (99 nucleotides) under Acanthosepion pharaonis. Lineage: Eukaryota; Metazoa; Mollusca; Cephalopoda; Sepiida; Sepiidae. The record is from RNAcentral.
CAUUGAAACACCAGUUCUCAUAUGAUCACUGAAGUUAAGCAACAUGAAGCCUGGUCAGUACUUAGAUGGGUGACCAGUUAGGGAUACCAGGUGCUGUAU